RNAcentral lists this ribosomal RNA (222 nucleotides) under uncultured bacterium. Its description in RNAcentral is "partial 16S ribosomal RNA". It matches the Rfam family "Bacterial small subunit ribosomal RNA", at positions 328 to 539 of the family's 1533-position model. The record is from RNAcentral.
ACGCUCGACACCUACGGGGGCAGCAGUAGGGAAUCUUCCACAAUGGACGCAAGUCUGAUGGAGCAACGCCGCGUGAGUGAAGAAGGUCUUCGGAUCGUAAAACUCUGUUGUUAGAGAAGAACACGAGUGAGAGUAACUGUUCAUUCGAUGACGGUAUCUAACCAGCAAGUCACGGCUAACUACGUGCCUGCAGCCGCGGUAAUCUGAGCGGGCUGGCAAGGC